This 206-nucleotide ribosomal RNA is filed under the name uncultured bacterium. Its description in RNAcentral is "partial 16S ribosomal RNA". It matches the Rfam family "Bacterial small subunit ribosomal RNA", at positions 568 to 774 of the family's 1533-position model. The record is from RNAcentral.
AGUGUAGGCGGCUGCGUCAGUCGGAUGUGAAAGCCCUGGGCUUAACCUGGGAAUUGCAUUCGAUACUGCGCAGCUAGAGUCUGAUAGAGGGAAGUGGAAUUCCAGGUGUAGCGGUGAAAUGCGUAGAGAUCUGGAGGAACACCAGUGGCGAAGGCGGCUUCCUGGAUCAAGACUGACGCUGAGGCUCGAAAGCGUGGGAGCAAACA